Molecule: ribosomal RNA, 253 nt
Filed under: uncultured bacterium
Lineage: Bacteria
Description: partial 16S ribosomal RNA
Rfam family: Bacterial small subunit ribosomal RNA
Source: RNAcentral
UACGAAGGGGGCUAGCGUUGCUCGGAAUGACUGGGCGUAAAGGGCGCGUAGGCGGCUCAUACAGUCAGAUGUGAAAUUCCUGGGCUUAACCUGGGGGCUGCAUUUGAUACGUGUGGGCUUGAGUGGGGAAGAGGGUCGUGGAAUUCCCAGUGUAGAGGUGAAAUUCGUAGAUAUCGGGAGGAACACCAGUGGCGAAGGCGACUUUCUGGCCUGUUCUUGACGCUGAGGCGCGAAAGCUAGGGGAGCAAACGGG